AUAAAAAUAAUGCAUUGUAUGCCGGAAGGGAUAAAUCUGGGGCUGAGUACAAGCAAAACAAGACCAAAGGAAGCUACCUGAGCAGGUAUUCCAGAUACUCAUGUCAUACACCAAGGUUGUACCAGUGCCCCUUUCUCUGUGACACAUCCAUCCACUGGAAACUUUCGUACAACUAGCUGAAAGAAGAGAAACAUCCUAUUUCAUGUCACUGGAGCCCUAAUGAUCGCAGCCAUUUCAGGAAAUGCCAUCAAUUACAGUGAGGAGCUCAUUCAGAAGUGAAAGAUGAGUUCCAUUCUCUGUUACUUAGAGGACAAUAGAUUAUAUUGGAUGUAGAUGAAGUUUGGGCAGAAUCAGGGAUCAAUGGCUCCAUCUAAAUUGUUGCACCAAAACACAGACAUACACCUGCUUUUAGAUUUGAAGAGUGAAUCCUCUCUGGAAAAUGUAGCAACUACUCAAAAAAGGUUGGAGGACCAACACUUCUAAGAAGCAGGAGCUGGAGGGAGGAUGGCAUUUCAAGAGGUGGCAAGUGGUCCUUCUUCACAGUCAUAUCUCUCAUUCUGCAAGCCAAAGACUCAAUGGUGGAUAUCCUCCUCCACUGAAUGCAAACUAUUAAGUAAUGAAAAGACAGCACUCCAAGCAAUAUAGAUUUAUAGGCCAACCUGGCAAUCAAGGGUAACUGACAUGAAAAUGGAUUGCUUCACAUUUUAAUUACAAAGAUACUCUUCAGUACCAUAAAUUGAAGAAAACACUAACUUUUUGUGGCUACUGUAAUUGUCAAAGUAUAAUUACCUGUGUUUUCUCACCUACGUAUUUGAGAUAGAGACAAAACCAAGUAAGUUAAUCCACUUAUAAU
Molecule: long non-coding RNA, 853 nt
Filed under: Homo sapiens (human)
Lineage: Eukaryota; Metazoa; Chordata; Mammalia; Primates; Hominidae
Description: HSALNT0328699
Source: RNAcentral